AGGUAUCGAACUCAGGACCUUGUGCUUGCAAGGGAGGUGGCGGCACCACUGAGCUAAAUCCCUGGCCCCCUGUUAUGUAUAUCAGCCGCAUGGGAACCCACUGACAAAUCAGCCUGGCAGCCUCAGCAGCCCCUGUGAGGAUCAAGCACCAGCGGGCCUACAUGGACUGGGGUGGUCCUGCCCUCCAGGAACUCUGAGGAACAUCUCACACCAAUUGUGGGCAAGUUGGACACCAACUGAGCAGAACUUACCCAAAACAGCAUUGGACAGAAGUCAAACACAUUGGCAGCACACAGAAAAUUAGCAAAAAUUUGGAUUCCUCCACACAAGAGGGUUUCCAGCUCAUUGAACAAUUAGGAUCAUUUGGCAAAGUUGAGCCUACAUCUGUGUAGAGCGGCAGCAAUUGGCCGCCUUCUGCUUUCUUUAGGUAUCAACCUGGCUGCUGUGGUUGUCUGCCCCCAAAAAGCCUACCUUGAAGUUCAGAGCUAACUCAGAGCCUGCAUAUCCUGGUGCAAGGAACAGGAAGAGAAGGAAGAAGGCAGGGAGAAAGGGCAUAGAUUAGAAAUCUCCCAGGCCUAGCAGAUCGAGCAUUCCCCAGAGCCCAGCCCAUGUUCUGGAAAGCUGGAUUUGCAAUGUUUCUGUGACCUUCUCCACCUGAGAAAGUACCUCAUUCUCUCUCAUUGUUGCUCCAGCAGGCGGAGGCUGAAGAGCUUAUUUGACUGCUACCCUACUGCUAUGUAGACUGU
This 746-nucleotide long non-coding RNA is filed under the name Heterocephalus glaber (naked mole-rat). RNAcentral's name for it is "lncRNA (ENSHGLG00100034021.1)". The record is from RNAcentral. Lineage: Eukaryota; Metazoa; Chordata; Mammalia; Rodentia; Bathyergidae.